Molecule: long non-coding RNA, 760 nt
Filed under: Panax ginseng (ginseng)
Lineage: Eukaryota; Viridiplantae; Streptophyta; Magnoliopsida; Apiales; Araliaceae
Description: long non-coding RNA (PGIN_LNC011432)
Source: RNAcentral
CCCACACCAACAGAUCCUGAACCCCUCCCAGAACCUGAACCAACCACCAACCCAUCCUCAAUCCGAGGGAGUCUACUCGAUCUACCAGUAGAUGAUCGAAAACGACUCCUUCGGGUCAAGAAGUUAAGGACUAAGAUUACCCUUUUGACCACCGAAGAGCUUAGAGUGCCUCCUUCUUCAACCGAACUUCCCCCAAUAGUUCCAGUUGAGAUUCAAGUCUCUGAUGAUGAAGAAGAGGCUGAACCCGCUCCAACAUUAUCCCAAAAAAGAAAGCAUCCCUCUGAUAGUCACCCAAGUUCAGCGUCUGCUCCAUUACCACCCCGAGAACCCCUUCCAAUUCGAUCUUCAUCCCCCAAAAACGUAUACACCGAUCCAUCCCCACCUCGCGAUCAACCCAUGCCCUCUCCUCCAGGACAUACAUCCCACGAGUUUCAGAAUAAGGCUAUGGCGUCGCCGACUCUAUGGCCUCGAUUUAAUGUCAACUUCCCCUUUUAAUUGUUUAACUCAUUCGUUCGAAAAACUGACGACCACUGGUUCGGCAACAGCUCGAUCGGGGAUCUACUAGAUGAAGGCAUGAGUUACCUAGCACAGGUAAAGGACUUUCUCCAUCUUCAUACUUCUUUUCAUGCUUGGAUUAGAUAUCUUGAAUUUGAUUGGUUAAUACUGAAUGUAUACAGGCCAAUGCUGUUUUUGGGCGAUUACGCCCAAAACAUCUCGAAGCCGAAGCUGCAGAGGAGGCGACCAGAAAAGAGAAUACGAU